UGGCUCAGUGGUUAAGAGCACUGGAUGCUCUUCCAGAGGACCUGGGUUCAAUUCCCAA
RNAcentral lists this transfer RNA (58 nucleotides) under Neotoma lepida (desert woodrat). It matches the Rfam family "tRNA", at positions 8 to 63 of the family's 71-position model. Rfam says of the family: Transfer RNA (tRNA) molecules are approximately 80 nucleotides in length. Their secondary structure includes four short double-helical elements and three loops (D, anti-codon, and T loops). Further hydrogen bonds mediate the characteristic L-shaped molecular structure. tRNAs have two regions of fundamental functional importance: the anti-codon, which is responsible for specific mRNA codon recognition, and the 3' end, to which the tRNAs corresponding amino acid is attached (by aminoacyl-tRNA synthetases). tRNAs cope with the degeneracy of the genetic code in two manners: having more than one tRNA (with a specific anti-codon) for a particular amino acid; and 'wobble' base-pairing, i.e. permitting non-standard base-pairing at the 3rd anti-codon position. The record is from Rfam by way of RNAcentral. RNAcentral also lists the same sequence under 1 other name. Lineage: Eukaryota; Metazoa; Chordata; Mammalia; Rodentia; Cricetidae.